This 301-nucleotide ribosomal RNA is filed under the name uncultured bacterium. RNAcentral describes it as "partial 16S ribosomal RNA". It matches the Rfam family "Bacterial small subunit ribosomal RNA", at positions 509 to 807 of the family's 1533-position model. The record is from RNAcentral.
CAGUAGCCGCGGGAAUACGGAGGGGGCUAGCGUUGUUCGGAAUUACUGGGCGUAAAGCGCACGUAGGCGGCUUGGUAAGUUAGAGGUGAAAGCCCGGAGCUCAACUCCGGAAUUGCCUUUAAGACUGCCGAGCUAGCAGGUGAGAGAGGUAAGUGGAAUUCCGAGUGUAGAGGUGAAAUUCGUAGAUAUUCGGAAGAACACCAGUGGCGAAGGCGGCUUACUGGCUCAUACUGGACGCUGAGGUGCGAAAGCGUGGGGAGCAAACAGGAUUAGAUACCCGGGUAGUCCCUGUCUCUUAUAC